RNAcentral lists this ribosomal RNA (460 nucleotides) under uncultured bacterium. RNAcentral's name for it is "partial 16S ribosomal RNA". It matches the Rfam family "Bacterial small subunit ribosomal RNA", at positions 338 to 795 of the family's 1533-position model. The record is from RNAcentral.
CCUACGGGUGGCUGCAGUGAGGAAUAUUGGUCAAUGGGCGGAAGCCUGAACCAGCCAAGUAGCGUGAAGGAUGACGGCCCUACGGGUUGUAAACUGCUUUUAUACGGGAAUAACGCGCCUUACGUGUAGGGCUUUGCAUGUACCGUAUGAAUAAGGACCGGCUAAUUCCGUGCCAGCAGCCGCGGUAAUACGGAAGGUCCGGGCGUUAUCCGGAUUUAUUGGGUUUAAAGGGGGCGUAGGCCGCAUGUCAAGCGUGCUGUGAAAUGGCCGGGCUCAACCCGGGCCGUGCAGGGCGAACUGGCGUGCUUGAGUUGGCGAAAAGCAGGCGGAAUGCGUGGUGUAGCGGUGAAAUGCUUAGAUAUGGCGAAGAACCCCGAUUGCGAAGGCAGCUUGCUGCAGCCGAACUGACGCUGAUGCUCGAAAGCGCGGGGAUCGAACAGGAUUAGAUACCCGGGUAGUC